Molecule: ribosomal RNA, 250 nt
Filed under: uncultured bacterium
Lineage: Bacteria
Description: partial 16S ribosomal RNA
Rfam family: Bacterial small subunit ribosomal RNA
Source: RNAcentral
UACGAGAGCCUCGAGCGUUAUCCGGAAUUAUUGGGCGUAAAGGGUGCGUAGGUUGUUCUGUUAGUCUUUUGUCAAAGCCCUGGGCUUAACCCAGGACCCGCGAAAGAAACGGCAGAACUUGAAAGUGCGAGAGGCGUGCGGAACUCAUGGUGUAGGAGUGAAAUCCGUUGAUAUCAUGGGGAACACCAAAAGCGAAGGCAGCACGCUGGCGCAUAUUUGACACUCAAGCACGAAAGCGUGGGUAGCGAAU